ACCCUCUGUUCCCUUUCCCAUCAGAUCUCAACACUGGAGAGCAUGUGAAGGAGGGAGAGCAUGUGAAGCUGGCCUCACAGCCUUGUAGUCUGCUUAUAAGCAUGUGGGCUAGAUUCAAACAGGG
RNAcentral lists this small nucleolar RNA (124 nucleotides) under Nannospalax galili (Upper Galilee mountains blind mole rat). RNAcentral describes it as "Small nucleolar RNA SNORA61 (ENSNGAG00000009597.1)". The record is from RNAcentral. Lineage: Eukaryota; Metazoa; Chordata; Mammalia; Rodentia; Spalacidae.